Molecule: ribosomal RNA, 788 nt
Filed under: uncultured Mycobacterium sp.
Lineage: Bacteria; Bacillati; Actinomycetota; Actinomycetes; Mycobacteriales; Mycobacteriaceae
Description: bacterial SSU rRNA
Rfam family: Bacterial small subunit ribosomal RNA
Source: RNAcentral
UGGGCGUAAAGAGCUCGUAGGUGGUUUGUCGCGUUGUUCGUGAAAUCUCACGGCUUAACUGUGAGCGUGCGGGCGAUACGGGCAGACUUGAGUACUGCAGGGGAGACUGGAAUUCCUGGUGUAGCGGUGGAAUGCGCAGAUAUCAGGAGGAACACCGGUGGCGAAGGCGGGUCUCUGGGCAGUAACUGACGCUGAGGAGCGAAAGCGUGGGGAGCGAACAGGAUUAGAUACCCUGGUAGUCCACGCCGUAGACGGUGGGUACUAGGUGUGGGUUUCCUUCCUUGGGAUCCGUGCCGUAGCUAACGCAUUAAGUACCCCGCCUGGGGAGUACGGCCGCAAGGCUAAACUCAAAGAAACUGACGGGGGCCCGCACAAGCGGCGGAGCAUGUGGAUUAAUUCGAUGCAACGCGAAGAACCUUACCUGGGUUUGACAUGCACAGGACGCCGGCAGAGAUGUCGGUUCCCUUGUGGCCUGUGUGCAGGUGGUGCAUGGCUGUCGUCAGCUCGUGUCGUGAGAUGUUGGGUUAAGUCCCGCAACGAGCGCAACCCUUGUCUCAUGUUGCCAGCGGGUAAUGCCGGGGACUCGUGAGAGACUGCCGGGGUCAACUCGGAGGAGGGUGGGGAUGACGUCAAGUCAUCAUGCCCCUUAUGUCCAGGGCUUCACACAUGCUACAAUGGCCGGUACAAAGGGCUGCGAUGCCGCGAGGUUAAGCGAAUCCUUUUAAAGCCGGUCUCAGUUCGGAUCGGGGUCUGCAACUCGACCCCGUGAAGUCGGAGUCGCUAGUAAU